GCGAACCCGGAAGAGAUUCCGGGGUGCCUUCGGGAACGCAGAGACAGGUGCUGCAUGGCUGUCGUCAGCUCGUGUUGUGAGAUGUUGGGUUAAGUCCCGCAACGAGCGCAACCCUUAUCCUUAGUUGCCAGCACGUAAUGGUGGGAACUCUGGGGAGACUGCCGGUGAUAAACCGGAGGAAGGUGGGGACGACGUCAAGUCAUCAUGGCCCUUACGGGAUGGGCUACACACGUGCUACAAUGGCGCAUACAAAGGGCAGCAAGCCAGCGAUGGUUAGCGAAUCUCAUAAAGUGCGUCGUAGUCCGGAUUGGAGUCUGCAACUCGACUCCAUGAAGUCGGAAUCGCUAGUAAUCGUGGAUCAGAAUGCCACGGUGAAUACGUUCCCGGGCCCCGUACACACCGCCCGUCACACCAAGGGAGGGGGGGGCACCAGAAGUGGUUAGUUUAACCUUCGGGAGAACGAUCACCACGGUGUGGUUCAUGACU
This 486-nucleotide ribosomal RNA is filed under the name uncultured bacterium. RNAcentral describes it as "bacterial SSU rRNA". It matches the Rfam family "Bacterial small subunit ribosomal RNA", at positions 991 to 1476 of the family's 1533-position model. The record is from RNAcentral.